RNAcentral lists this unclassified non-coding RNA (553 nucleotides) under Hevea brasiliensis (rubber tree). The record is from RNAcentral. Lineage: Eukaryota; Viridiplantae; Streptophyta; Magnoliopsida; Malpighiales; Euphorbiaceae.
GGUUGAUCUUUUGGGAGAUGAGGUUGAUACACUUCUGCGCCUACUUGAAAAAAUAUACAUUGCACUUGAUCACUACUUGCCAGUUUUGCAGCAUUAUCCUGGAAUUAUUGAAAUUCUUAAGCUGAUCAGAAAGGAAUUGUGGGGAGAUUCUGCUAAACCAGUGAAGUAAUCUUCUACAUAAGGUGCUGGUGAGUUCUAUGCUAUGUUUGGUGAAAGGAGGAUAUGAGGAGGGGGGAAAAAAGAGGGAAGAUUAAAGCUCAAUUGCUCCAGGUAAGUUCAAAAGUGGGCAUUUUUGUUUUUCUUGGUACUGAUAGAUGAAUUUUGGCCACUAUUUGAAGUCCACUGUAAAGCCAGAAGAUCCUGUUGGUAACAAAGACAAGUGUUACUUCUAUAGGAAUUUGAAUAGGGGAGAGCAUUUUUACUUUGCUUGUAUAUUGCUCCAUUUUUUUUCGCUGUGCAAAUUAGGUGAGAAGACCAAACACCAAAUAGCUGCUGCUGUGCAUUUUAGAUACUUGACAUGUACACGUGCAAGCCAUGCUAAGUUGUAACAUUC